RNAcentral lists this ribosomal RNA (499 nucleotides) under uncultured Methanomicrobiaceae archaeon. Its description in RNAcentral is "bacterial SSU rRNA". It matches the Rfam family "Archaeal small subunit ribosomal RNA", at positions 517 to 1015 of the family's 1478-position model. Lineage: Archaea; Methanobacteriati; Methanobacteriota; Methanomicrobia; Methanomicrobiales; Methanomicrobiaceae. The record is from RNAcentral.
GUUCGUAGCUGGUUUGUUAAGUCUCUGGGGAAAUCUUCCGGCUUAACCGGAAGGCGUCUCAGGGAUACUGGCAGACUAGGGACCGGAAGAGGUGAGAGGUACUCCAGGGGUAGGAGUGAAAUCCUGUAAUCCUUGGGGGACCACCUGUGGCGAAGGCGUCUCACCAGGACGGCUCCGACAGUGAGGGACGAAAGCUGGGGGAGCAAACCGGAUUAGAUACCCGGGUAGUCCCAGCCGUAAACGAUGUGCGUUAGGUGUAUCGGUGACCACGAGUCACCGAGGUGCCGAAGAGAAAUCGUGAAACGUACCGCCUGGGAAGUACGGUCGCAAGGCUGAAACUUAAAGGAAUUGGCGGGGGAGCACCACAACAGGUGGAGCCUGCGGUUUAAUCGGACUCAACGCCGGGAAACUCACCAGAUAAGACAGCUGAAUGAUAGUCGGGCUGAAGACUCUACUUGACUAGCUGAGAGGAGGUGCAUGGCCGUCGUCAGUUCGUAUG